Molecule: ribosomal RNA, 253 nt
Filed under: uncultured bacterium
Lineage: Bacteria
Description: partial 16S ribosomal RNA
Rfam family: Bacterial small subunit ribosomal RNA
Source: RNAcentral
UACGUAGGGUCCGAGCGUUGUCCGGAAUUAUUGGGCGUAAAGAGCUCGUAGGCGGUGUGUCGCGUCGGAUGUGAAAGCCCGGGGCUUAACUUCGGGUCUGCAUUCGGUACGGGCAUGCUGGAGUUCGGUAGGGGAGACUGGAAUUCCUGGUGUAGCGGUGAAAUGCGCAGAUAUCAGGAGGAACACCCGUAGCGAAGGCGGCACUCUGGGCCGAUUCUGACACUGAGGAGCGAAAGCGUGGGGAGCGAACAGG